This 804-nucleotide ribosomal RNA is filed under the name Escherichia coli. RNAcentral describes it as "partial 23S ribosomal RNA". It matches the Rfam family "Bacterial large subunit ribosomal RNA", at positions 419 to 1223 of the family's 2925-position model. The record is from RNAcentral. Lineage: Bacteria; Pseudomonadati; Pseudomonadota; Gammaproteobacteria; Enterobacterales; Enterobacteriaceae.
GGGACACGUGGUAUCCUGUCUGAAUAUGGGGGGACCAUCCUCCAAGGCUAAAUACUCCUGACUGACCGAUAGUGAACCAGUACCGUGAGGGAAAGGCGAAAAGAACCCCGGCGAGGGGAGUGAAAAAGAACCUGAAACCGUGUACGUACAAGCAGUGGGAGCACGCUUAGGCGUGUGACUGCGUACCUUUUGUAUAAUGGGUCAGCGACUUAUAUUCUGUAGCAAGGUUAACCGAAUAGGGGAGCCGAAGGGAAACCGAGUCUUAACUGGGCGUUAAGUUGCAGGGUAUAGACCCGAAACCCGGUGAUCUAGCCAUGGGCAGGUUGAAGGUUGGGUAACACUAACUGGAGGACCGAACCGACUAAUGUUGAAAAAUUAGCGGAUGACUUGUGGCUGGGGGUGAAAGGCCAAUCAAACCGGGAGAUAGCUGGUUCUCCCCGAAAGCUAUUUAGGUAGCGCCUCGUGAAUUCAUCUCCGGGGGUAGAGCACUGUUUCGGCAAGGGGGUCAUCCCGACUUACCAACCCGAUGCAAACUGCGAAUACCGGAGAAUGUUAUCACGGGAGACACACGGCGGGUGCUAACGUCCGUCGUGAAGAGGGAAACAACCCAGACCGCCAGCUAAGGUCCCAAAGUCAUGGUUAAGUGGGAAACGAUGUGGGAAGGCCCAGACAGCCAGGAUGUUGGCUUAGAAGCAGCCAUCAUUUAAAGAAAGCGUAAUAGCUCACUGGUCGAGUCGGCCUGCGCGGAAGAUGUAACGGGGCUAAACCAUGCACCGAAGCUGCGGCAGCGACGCUGAUGCGUUG